GAGCAUUUAUCGAGUUGGAUUCGGGUCAGAUGAUCCCUGUUUGUCUCUCUCACCAGAAUGUUACGCACUCAGUCUUUUUUCUCCUUGUAACUCCAGGGCCCAGCGCAGCAUUCAGCAAGUAGAGAGUUUAAAUGCCGGUUGAGUGAAUGAAGACAGAAUGAUCAUUUCAGUUUGCCAGGGAACCAUACCCAUUGUCUACAAGUAAAUGCUUAUAAAGGGGCUCGAUGGUAAUUCAUGUUUGUCUUUAUUUCUCCUUCAGGUAAGCUAUUGAACUUCUUUCAAGUUCAAAAACUGGGGGGAGUUUUAAGUACACUGUAUUCCCUUCUGCUGUCCUAUUGUAUUUUCCCUUUUUUCUUUUGGCCUUGCUCCAGUUAUGACCUAGUGAGAAGACCACAAGUACGUUACCCUACUGCUGCGGCUGAGAUAAAGGGAGACGAGAGAGGUACUCACCUGGGGCACAUUUACAGGAGUACCACAAAAAACCUCAAUCAUCAAGGACAGGACACCAUCAACACCAGCCAGAAAAAAUUGCCAUGGUUUCUUGCUGAGGAAGGCAUCAGACCUUCAAAAGUAGCUGAUUCCAGCCAGCCGCUGUCAUCACACAAGAAGCUCUUGCGAACUGACCUGCCAUGUAAGAAGAAUGAGCCUCUAAACGUGGCCACAGCUCAGUGAUACUGACCCACCACCCACCGUCUCUUUGCUGAACCGAGGUUCCAAAACAGAUGCUGCGGAAAUCGGCCUGUAGUGAGAUAUCUGGCCACCAGGAGGCAGCACGAGACCAUAGCUUUCCCGGAAGAUUAAGCAAGUUCCAAUCAGCAAAGCAGGAUCUCGGGGUUUCUAAUAAAGUCUGCAUAUUAGAAUCAUCUGACGAACUUUCAUAAAAUCCCAGGGGCCUGGGCUCCAUCUCAAGCCAGUUGCAUCUUAUAUCCCUGGGAAAGGGGGCACAGACUUUCAGUUUCUCCAGUGAUUCCAAUCUGCGAAGAGAGUUGACAACGACUCAUGGAGAACACUGAAUCCUGAAAACUGUAAAGGCUUUUGGGAAUCACCUAGUCUACCCUGAUUGCCCCAUUCCACAGCUGCAGGAACUGAGGCCAGAAACAAU
Molecule: long non-coding RNA, 1102 nt
Filed under: Mustela putorius furo (domestic ferret)
Lineage: Eukaryota; Metazoa; Chordata; Mammalia; Carnivora; Mustelidae
Description: lncRNA (ENSMPUG00000029655.1)
Source: RNAcentral